GACGUAGGGGGCGAGCGUUGUCCGGAAUUACUGGGCGUAAAGAGCACGUAGGCGGGACCUUAAGUCAGGUGUGAAAGACCGCGGCUCAACCGCGGGGUUGCACCUGAAACUGGGGUUCUUGAGGGCAGGAGAGGAAAGCAGAAUUCCUGGUGUAGCGGUGAAAUGCGUAGAAAUCAGGAGGAAUACCAGUGGCGAAGGCGGCUUUCUGGACUGACCCUGACGCUGAGGUGCGAAAGCGUGGGGAGCAAACAGG
RNAcentral lists this ribosomal RNA (253 nucleotides) under uncultured bacterium. RNAcentral's name for it is "partial 16S ribosomal RNA". It matches the Rfam family "Bacterial small subunit ribosomal RNA", at positions 524 to 776 of the family's 1533-position model. RNAcentral also lists the same sequence under 1 other name. The record is from RNAcentral.